Molecule: ribosomal RNA, 1458 nt
Filed under: Lactiplantibacillus plantarum
Lineage: Bacteria; Bacillati; Bacillota; Bacilli; Lactobacillales; Lactobacillaceae
Description: bacterial SSU rRNA
Rfam family: Bacterial small subunit ribosomal RNA
Source: RNAcentral
CGGGGGGGCCCUAAUACAUGCCAGUCGAACGAACUCUGGUAUUGAUUGGUGCUUGCAUCAUGAUUUACAUUUGAGUGAGUGGCGAACUGGUGAGUAACACGUGGGAAACCUGCCCAGAAGCGGGGGAUAACACCUGGAAACAGAUGCUAAUACCGCAUAACAACUUGGACCGCAUGGUCCGAGCUUGAAAGAUGGCUUCGGCUAUCACUUUUGGAUGGUCCCGCGGCGUAUUAGCUAGAUGGUGGGGUAACGGCUCACCAUGGCAAUGAUACGUAGCCGACCUGAGAGGGUAAUCGGCCACAUUGGGACUGAGACACGGCCCAAACUCCUACGGGAGGCAGCAGUAGGGAAUCUUCCACAAUGGACGAAAGUCUGAUGGAGCAACGCCGCGUGAGUGAAGAAGGGUUUCGGCUCGUAAAACUCUGUUGUUAAAGAAGAACAUAUCUGAGAGUAACUGUUCAGGUAUUGACGGUAUUUAACCAGAAAGCCACGGCUAACUACGUGCCAGCAGCCGCGGUAAUACGUAGGUGGCAAGCGUUGUCCGGAUUUAUUGGGCGUAAAGCGAGCGCAGGCGGUUUUUUAAGUCUGAUGUGAAAGCCUUCGGCUCAACCGAAGAAGUGCAUCGGAAACUGGGAAACUUGAGUGCAGAAGAGGACAGUGGAACUCCAUGUGUAGCGGUGAAAUGCGUAGAUAUAUGGAAGAACACCAGUGGCGAAGGCGGCUGUCUGGUCUGUAACUGACGCUGAGGCUCGAAAGUAUGGGUAGCAAACAGGAUUAGAUACCCUGGUAGUCCAUACCGUAAACGAUGAAUGCUAAGUGUUGGAGGGUUUCCGCCCUUCAGUGCUGCAGCUAACGCAUUAAGCAUUCCGCCUGGGGAGUACGGCCGCAAGGCUGAAACUCAAAGGAAUUGACGGGGGCCCGCACAAGCGGUGGAGCAUGUGGUUUAAUUCGAAGCUACGCGAAGAACCUUACCAGGUCUUGACAUACUAUGCAAAUCUAAGAGAUUAGACGUUCCCUUCGGGGACAUGGAUACAGGUGGUGCAUGGUUGUCGUCAGCUCGUGUCGUGAGAUGUUGGGUUAAGUCCCGCAACGAGCGCAACCCUUAUUAUCAGUUGCCAGCAUUAAGUUGGGCACUCUGGUGAGACUGCCGGUGACAAACCGGAGGAAGGUGGGGAUGACGUCAAAUCAUCAUGCCCCUUAUGACCUGGGCUACACACGUGCUACAAUGGAUGGUACAACGAGUUGCGAACUCGCGAGAGUAAGCUAAUCUCUUAAAGCCAUUCUCAGUUCGGAUUGUAGGCUGCAACUCGCCUACAUGAAGUCGGAAUCGCUAGUAAUCGCGGAUCAGCAUGCCGCGGUGAAUACGUUCCCGGGCCUUGUACACACCGCCCGUCACACCAUGAGAGUUUGUAACACCCAAAGUCGGUGGGGUAACCUUUUAGGAACCAGCCCGCCCUG